Micropterus salmoides (largemouth bass) is the source of this 404-nucleotide long non-coding RNA. RefSeq lists it as uncharacterized. The transcript is spliced from 3 exons. NCBI's taxonomy places the organism in Eukaryota, Metazoa, Chordata, Actinopteri, Centrarchiformes, Centrarchidae. The record is from RefSeq and is a predicted model, not a curated record.
CUCAGAUUCAGAUCAGUGUGUUCAACUGUAAUGGCGAAACACUGUUGGUCAAAGUGAAACGCCAGCAAAGGGACAGAAGAAGAAAUCAGAACAACAGAAACAGGCAGUGUGCAGAAGUUCUACUAGAGACGAACGAGGAACAGCGAUGGAGAAGAACCACAGCAGAGAUUUCUUUGCAUGGACGGACAAUGAUGUGGAACUGUUACUGAAAGUAACAGGGGAGUACAAAGAGACUGUGACUGUGGCUGCACGAACAAAGUCUCCAGCUUCUGCUCCAAAACAGCAACACAGAACCAAUUUAGAAACCAGCCGACAUGAAAGAGUCCCAUUAAAACCCAGCAGACGCCUCACGGCAGGAGGCCGCCACCGCUUCACUGAGCGUGUGCAGACGUGCUGCAGGAUCU